CUCUUCUCGCGUGUCGGUGUCCACCCACGAGCUCUGCCCUUGAAAGCACACUGAUUCUCUGAUUGCUUUCCAAAUCGAAAGCUUCACCUGCUGUUUGCAAACGUGUUCUCUUCUCGUUUGCCCUGUGAUUGAACAAACAGGCAUUGAUUUCUGUCUCUGUUAAAAAAAAAAAAAAAAAGAAACAACAUCCCACAGAUAUUAGAUACCAGAUGCCUCCCUGCCUGCUCGGUGAAGAAUUUAACAGAGUGAUCUUUUCAAAAUAAUACAUAGGAAGACUCUGUGAUUCCCACGCCGCCUGUGGGUGGAUUCCUGAAUGGAAAGCGUUGAAAUGGAUGUGACAGAUGGAACAGGAGUGCAAAGUGAAGAGAGAGAGAGAGAGAGACAGAGAGAGAGAGAGCCACCGAGAGACAGAGACACAGGGACACAGAGAGAUGGCUUCUGCUUCUUGGUGGGAACAUCGCAGAAUAACUCCAAAUUCUCUGAAUUUAUUUACUAUUUCUAGAUUCUUGCAUCGACUCACUGAUACAUUAAAUCAAU
Molecule: long non-coding RNA, 537 nt
Filed under: Fukomys damarensis (Damara mole-rat)
Lineage: Eukaryota; Metazoa; Chordata; Mammalia; Rodentia; Bathyergidae
Description: lncRNA (ENSFDAG00000030067.1)
Source: RNAcentral